UGGGAUAACUUCGGGAAACCGGAGCUAAUACCGGAUAACAUUUAGAACCGCAUGGUUCUAAAGUGAAAGAUGGUUUUGCUAUCACUUAUAGAUGGACCCGCGCCGUAUUAGCUAGUUGGUAAGGUAACGGCUUACCAAGGCGACGAUACGUAGCCGACCUGAGAGGGUGAUCGGCCACACUGGAACUGAGACACGGUCCAGACUCCUACGGGAGGCAGCAGUAGGGAAUCUUCCGCAAUGGGCGAAAGCCUGACGGAGCAACGCCGCGUGAGUGAUGAAGGGUUUCGGCUCGUAAAACUCUGUUAUUAGGGAAGAACAAAUGUGUAAGUAGCUGUGCACAUCUUGACAGUACCUAAUCAGAAAGCCACGGCUAACUACGUGCCAGCAGCCGCGGUAAUACGUAGGUGGCAAGCGUUAUCCGGAAUUAUUGGGCGUAAAGCGCGCGUAGGCGGUUUCUUAAGUCUGAUGUGAAAGCCCACGGCUCAACCGUGGAGGGUCAUUGGAAACUGGGAAACUUGAGUACAGAAGAGGAAAGUGGAAUUCCAUGUGUAGCGGUGAAAUGCGCAGAGAUAUGGAGGAACACCAGUGGCGAAGGCGACUUUCUGGUCUGUAACUGACGCUGAUGUGCGAAAGCGUGGGGAUCAAACAGGAUUAGAUACCCUGGUAGUCCACGCCGUAAACGAUGAGUGCUAAGUGUUAGGGGGUUUCCGCCCCUUAGUGCUGCAGCUAACGCAUUAAGCACUCCGCCUGGGGAGUACGACCGCAAGGUUGAACUCAGAG
Molecule: ribosomal RNA, 780 nt
Filed under: uncultured Staphylococcus sp.
Lineage: Bacteria; Bacillati; Bacillota; Bacilli; Caryophanales; Staphylococcaceae
Description: bacterial SSU rRNA
Rfam family: Bacterial small subunit ribosomal RNA
Source: RNAcentral